GACGAACCUUGCUAACGUUAUUCGGAAUUACUGGGCUUAAAGGGUGCGUAGGCGGCGCAGCAAGUUGGGUGUGAAAUCCCUCGGCUCAACCGAGGAAUUGCGCUCAAAACUACCCGACUCGAGGGAGAUAGAGGAAAGCGGAACUGAUGGUGGAGCGGUGAAAUGCGUUGAUAUCAUCAGGAACACCGGUGGCGAAGGCGGCUUUCUGGGUCUUACCUGACGCUGAGGCGCGAAAGCCAGGGGAGCGAACGGG
RNAcentral lists this ribosomal RNA (253 nucleotides) under uncultured bacterium. RNAcentral describes it as "partial 16S ribosomal RNA". It matches the Rfam family "Bacterial small subunit ribosomal RNA", at positions 524 to 776 of the family's 1533-position model. The record is from RNAcentral.